GUCCAGCUGACGAGUCCCAAACAGGACGAAACGCGAGUCCUGGAU
RNAcentral lists this non-coding RNA (45 nucleotides) under Schistosoma margrebowiei. Lineage: Eukaryota; Metazoa; Platyhelminthes; Trematoda; Strigeidida; Schistosomatidae. The record is from RNAcentral.